Cydia fagiglandana is the source of this 226-nucleotide long non-coding RNA. RefSeq lists it as uncharacterized. The transcript is spliced from 4 exons. The record is from RefSeq and is a predicted model, not a curated record. NCBI's taxonomy places the organism in Eukaryota, Metazoa, Arthropoda, Insecta, Lepidoptera, Tortricidae.
GUUAAAUAAUCUGCUCCUCGAGGGAAUUACAAAUGAGGCACUGAAGGCGACGGGCGAUGUGCAAGAGCGGGUGAUGAAAGCAUUAGAUAAAGAAAAUGCUCCUAUGCCAGCAAAAAUGCUGGUUUGUAACUACUGAUUAAAAAUUAAUUCAAUCUAUUCUAUUCUAUUUUUAUUUAUUUCUUUAGUCUAAAAAAUCUUCUUAAUCAUAUUAAUGUAUUCUAAAAAA